AGAGGGAGCGGCCCGUCGGGGAGCAGCCGGGAUGCCCGCCCCGAUCAGUCCCUGGAGGAAGGACAACCACGUGCCCCGCCCCCGUCCUGCCCUUUCCGUUCAGAUGCCCACCCCUCCUCCACCACCAUCACCUGCCCUCCCCUCUCUCCCCGCAAGCUGGUGGAGAGGAAAGCUGGAGCUGAGGAAGGCCUUUAGCCCCGAGCCUGAUCUUUAUUUUGAUCUAGUCUGGCCCUUCUCGAAGCCACAAAAAUCUGGAACCUGGUGUCCUGGCCAUGUGCUGAAUGCACGCACAGCACAGCUCUGGUAUCUGUUUUAAAUUAUCCAUUAAAAUAAGUACAGUCCUAGAAAAAAAAAUAAGUACAGUCUUGGACUUGGUUGGGUGGAGUGAGCUGAAGAAAGGGGCUGAAACGAGGGAUUUCAGCAGCCCCUUUUUCCAGCUGUCUAGGUCCAAAUGAAAGGGGAGGGGGAAUGGGUGGGGCCAACUCCUGGCUUCUAUUCUUGGCCUUCUCUUGGGGACUGAGGCUUAUUUCUUAGAUCUAAAACCCAAUGUUUGGUUUUAAAGCCAAAAAUAUAAGGGAAGUGCAUAGGUUUGGUUUUUUUUUUUUUUCCCCCGAGGUCCUUGAUCUUUGCCCCCAAAUUUGAGGGCAUAAAGUAAUCCCUCAGUUACCUAAAAACACAGCCAUUCCUUUGCCAUUCCACUCUCCUGGAUGGGCCGCUUCUGUGCUCGAGGGAGAGGUGACUCACUAUUACUACUGAGGAAAGGGGAGCCAGUGGUGGAAGUGGGGUGAGUCAUUGAUGGGCAGCAGCUUCAGCCCUCCCCCCAACUUCCUUGGCUCUCUGGGGAUGCCUGAUCCUCUCCCUCACUUUGCACCUACUUCCCCUGGUCCCUCACCACUACCCUUUGCCCACCCACUCAAAUUCUUUGGCUCUGCUCUUUACCCCAGAAGGCCAAAGGCAAGCUUAGAGUUGAGUAGGCAGGAACCAACAUUGUGAAGCCCCAGGCCAGAAAGGGGUGUUCUGCAGAGUGAGGGUUGGCAUGCUGGCUCCUCCUCACCAUACCUGUCCCCGCCCCUUUGGGUACAGGAUGGCUCCUUUAAGAGCAGUGGAUCCACCCCCUGUAGAGGAGGGCCUAUUAGAGCCUCUGCCUGGCUGUCAGUGACUCAGUGUUCGCGGGAACGCUGCCUCAGCCUCAACACCAGCCAACCCAGAUCCCGAGGUGCGCCAGCGCCCAGCCCAGAUCUCCACGCCUGCCAGGAGCGAGCUUCGCCGGCUCGCUGUCCCCCUGAGCAGCCUCUGUCCUUCCGUCCAAGUCCCGC
RNAcentral lists this long non-coding RNA (1316 nucleotides) under Mus spicilegus (steppe mouse). RNAcentral describes it as "lncRNA (ENSMSIG00000029195.1)". Lineage: Eukaryota; Metazoa; Chordata; Mammalia; Rodentia; Muridae. The record is from RNAcentral.